RNAcentral lists this ribosomal RNA (464 nucleotides) under uncultured bacterium. RNAcentral's name for it is "partial 16S ribosomal RNA". It matches the Rfam family "Bacterial small subunit ribosomal RNA", at positions 28 to 507 of the family's 1533-position model. The record is from RNAcentral.
AUUGAACGCUGGCGGCAGGCUUAACACAUGCAAGUCGAGCGGAUGAAGCGAGCUUGCUCCUGGAUUCCGCGGCGGACGGGUGAGUAAUGCCUAGGAAUCUGCCUGGUAGUGGGGGAUAAUGUCCUGAGACGGGCGCUAAUACCGCCUACGUCCUGAGGGAGCAAGUUGGGGAUCUUCGGACCUGGCGCUUUGGGAUGGACUCGGGGCUUAUUAGCUAGUUGGUGGGGUAGUGGCUUACCAAGGCUAUGAUGGGUAGCUGGCCUGAGAGGGUGACCGGCCACAUUGGGACUGAGAUACGGCCCAGACUCCUACGGGAGGCAGCAGUGGGGAAUAUUGCACAAUGGGCGGAAGCCUGAUGCAGCAACGCCGCGUGCGGGAUGACGGCCUUCGGGUUGUAAACCGCUUUCGCCUGUGGCGAAGCGUGAGUGACGGUAAUGGGUAAAGAAGCACCGGCUAACUACGUG